GUGGACUUGGCCACUGGUGACCAGGGGCAGGUGUUCCAGGGCCUGUCUGCUGUCUGAUUCAGCUGUGAGUGCAUGGAGACCCAAGUAUGGAUCAGGAACACGUGACAGGAGACGGUGCAAGCACUGCAGCAAAGAGUCCCUGGUUCCAGGUCCCAGCCUGUCUCACUGGUAUUAACACUUGUAGAGCAUUAUUGGCAAUCACUCAAAUGCAACAAUAUCAACUCAAGUUGGAGUCCUUUGGUUCGAAACACAGUAAGUGGAUCACAGUUUCUCUUGGAGGAAAUAGAAACCCCCGCUUGUCACUCUGCACAGAGCAGGAAGUUUCUCUUCUUUGGGUACAUGUGUGAGUGCUAGGUCUCUUCAGCUAUGUCUGAAACUUUGUGACCCCAUGGGCUGUAACCCCCCAGGCUCGUCUGUCC
This 419-nucleotide long non-coding RNA is filed under the name Capra hircus (goat). Its description in RNAcentral is "lncRNA (ENSCHIG00000001281.1)". Lineage: Eukaryota; Metazoa; Chordata; Mammalia; Artiodactyla; Bovidae. The record is from RNAcentral.